CGUAUUUAUGAAUGCAGUCUGUGAACUUAUUUAUGAAUGCAAAAACAUAUACAUUUGCCAUGUACUGUAGGCUUUUAAGAAGCAAGCAUUCCAUAGCAUCAUACAACAUCUAAUUAAUAUCUUAUGCAGUGUGGCUUCUUAAGAAAAGUAAUCUUGUUUCAAAGACUUUUAGAUACUUGUAAAGAAAUUACUAAUUAACUUUUUUUCUUUUCUUUUUUUUGGCAGUGCAAGAUUCACACAUUUCAAGAUCUUUCAAUAAGAGAAUGGGAGCUGAUGAACAUUCAAGAUUGAUCCACAAACAAAAUGGAUGUUGUUUAAAUGGAAAACAUUAUCAUAUCCAAGAACUGAAAACUUUUUCAACAUUGUGUCAUCACUCAGAAAGAAAUGCUUCACCAUCAAACUGUCUCUUCACCUCAUCUCCUCCUGGAAUGGCUUACCUUCUGACACAAAGCACUGGCAGGGCAGAGCAUGAAUGACUCUGGAGGUGAUUGACACAGGAAGAAUGUGUGACGGAAAUGAAAUUUCAUUUGGGAUGACGCUCUUUUCAUGAAAUCGCUUUUUAAGGACUACAACAAACGAACUUCUUCCCAGCACUGAAAGAAAACCCAAUGACACAAUGUCCUCAAAACAAAGGACUUGUUUUCAGUGGUUGUGUUGGUUGAAUCUCCUACUCUGAUGAGGCCUGAGAUCAUUAUCUGAAGCAGAUUCAGGCCGGCUCUGAGAAAUGCCCUGCAGCUUUUUUGUAUUACGAUCUAAAGAGGCCCACAAUGUGCACUGACUUUUGCCAGCAAUGGGAGUUCAGACAUGCUCAGAGGCUUUAACAACCUCUCCCGUCGACCCCCACAGGCAUGCUGCUGCUCAGUUUGCUGCGUAAACGUGUCUCACCUAGCGAAUGAGUGUGCUUUUUUGUGUUAAUGAAGAUGGCCUCUCUUCCACUGGGUGGAGCGUGAAUGCUCUACAGUGCGUUCUUGCUGACUGAUAAUGGAAUUGAUUGUGACAGCGUUUUGUCUGUCAGGAUAAUUACAAGGCUCGAUGCUCAGUGACUGCAUUGCUGCAUGGAGAUCUGGCCAAUCCUCACUGGCCAAUGAGCUUCAUGCUUUCACAAUCCAGUGACUGUGAUAGUAUUACGAUAGUAGAAAAGCCCUCUGAUGCACAUCAGGGACUUCAGCCUCUUUAUCAUGGUGGAAAGACAGGGAUCCUUUAUUCCAUAUGCAUUGCAUUUUAAUCCUGGCCAAUAAUAACAUGUGUACCACAUUAAUGUAUUUACAUGUUCAAAUGUUUGUGGUCAGUAAGAGAUUUUCUUUUUAAGAAAUUAAUACUUUUAUUCAGCUAGCAUGCAUUAAAGGGAUAGUUCACCUAAAAAUUAAAAUUUGCUGUUAGUUUACUUACCCUCAGGCCAUUCAAGAUUACUUUUUUCUUCAGUAGAACAGUAAAGAAAGUUUUUAGCUGAAACCAUGGCAGAGACGACAGAUCACGCAUCAUGUUAGUUUUCUUUAUUUAACAUUUUGUUUUUACUGUGAGUGCACGCAAAUAAAAGUAGACAUUCUGUAGUUUCAAUUGAUGUAUUACUUGUAUCUGUAUGACAAAAAAUGAUGGAGUAUUUUAAGUCGAUUUUGCUGCUAUGUGAAGAAAAUCCAGCAAAACGUGCCAGCGUUAAAGAUGCAAUUAUGACAAAGUGUCAGGACACAGACGGAGGCAGAUGGGUAAGUGUACACAGAUGUUUAUUAAGACAGAGGCACGAACACAGGGAUAGUUGAAUGCAGGUGAGUAGA
Long non-coding RNA from Ctenopharyngodon idella (grass carp), 1772 nucleotides. RefSeq lists it as uncharacterized. The record is from RefSeq and is a predicted model, not a curated record. Lineage: Eukaryota; Metazoa; Chordata; Actinopteri; Cypriniformes; Xenocyprididae. The transcript is spliced from 4 exons.